AUCUAAGUCAAGAAUGAAAAAGACUAACUGUUUUGAGUGCGGGGAGCAAGAACACUAUAUAGAAAGACUGCCCCAAGUUGAAAAAUAAAAUGGAAAUCCAACCAGAAAGUUCUGCGAAUAUGGUUGACCGUUUUAUCGAUUCUAAUGGUGAUGACGGUGCUGAAGAAAUUUUAUCCAUGAGUUCAAAUCAUAGACAAAAUUCCUAGAUUCUUAAUACUGGUGCUACUUAUAACAUGCGUCCACACAGAAACUGAUUUGUCACUUACAAACAGAUGAG
Molecule: unclassified non-coding RNA, 277 nt
Filed under: Hevea brasiliensis (rubber tree)
Lineage: Eukaryota; Viridiplantae; Streptophyta; Magnoliopsida; Malpighiales; Euphorbiaceae
Source: RNAcentral